GAUGAACGCUGGCGGCGUGCCUAAUACAUGCAAGUAGAACGCUGAAGCUUGGUGCUUGCACCGAGCGGAUGAGUUGCGAACGGGUGAGUAACGCGUAGGUAACCUGCCUGGUAGCGGGGGAUAACUAUUGGAAACGAUAGCUAAUACCGCAUAACAGUCGACAUUGCAUGAUGUUGAUUUGAAAGGGGCAAUUGCUCCACUACCAGAUGGACCUGCGUUGUAUUAGCUAGUUGGUGAGGUAACGGCUCACCAAGGCAACGAUACAUAGCCGACCUAAGAGGGUGAUCGGCCACACUGGGACUGAGACACGGCCCAGACUCCUACGGGAGGCAGCAGUAGGGAAUCUUCGGCAAUGGACGGAAGUCUGACCGAGCAACGCCGCGUGAGUGAAGAAGGUUUUCGGAUCGUAAAGCUCUGUUGUAAGAGAAGAACGAGUGUGAGAGUGGAAAGUUCACACUGUGACGGUAUCUUACCAGAAAGGGACGGCUAACUACGUGCCAGCAGCCGCGGUAAU
RNAcentral lists this ribosomal RNA (514 nucleotides) under uncultured bacterium. RNAcentral's name for it is "bacterial SSU rRNA". It matches the Rfam family "Bacterial small subunit ribosomal RNA", at positions 28 to 524 of the family's 1533-position model. The record is from RNAcentral.